Molecule: non-coding RNA, 76 nt
Organism: Geobacillus sp. B4113_201601
Lineage: Bacteria; Bacillati; Bacillota; Bacilli; Caryophanales; Anoxybacillaceae
Source: Rfam
GAACACGGAAGUUAAGCCCUCCAGCGCCGAUGGUAGUUGGGGCCAGCGCCCCUGCAAGAGUAGGUCGCUGCUAGGC